Molecule: ribosomal RNA, 484 nt
Filed under: uncultured bacterium
Lineage: Bacteria
Description: partial 16S ribosomal RNA
Rfam family: Bacterial small subunit ribosomal RNA
Source: RNAcentral
AUUGAACGCUGGCGGCAGGCCUAACACAUGCAAGUCGAGCGGAUGAAGGGAGCUUGCUCCUGGAUUCAGCGGCGGACGGGUGAGUAAUGCCUAGGAAUCUGCCUGGUAGUGGGGGAUAACGUCCGGAAACGGGCGCUAAUACCGCAUACGUCCUGAGGGAGAAAGUGGGGGAUCUUCGGACCUCCCGCUAUCAGAUGAGCCUAGGUCGGAUUAGCUAGUUGGUGGGGUAAAGGCCUACCAAGGCGACGAUCCGUAACUGGUCUGAGAGGAUGAUCAGUCACACUGGAACUGAGACACGGUCCAGACUCCGACGGGAGGCAGCAGUGGGGAAUAUUGGACAAUGGGCGAAAGCCUGAUCCAGCCAUGCCGCGUGUGUGAAGAAGGUCUUCGGAUUGUAAAGCACUUUAAGUUGGGAGGAAGGGAAGUAAGUUAAUACCUUGCUGUUUUGACGGUACCAACAGAAUAAGCACCGGCUAACUUCGUG